Molecule: ribosomal RNA, 1417 nt
Filed under: uncultured Oscillospiraceae bacterium
Lineage: Bacteria; Bacillati; Bacillota; Clostridia; Eubacteriales; Oscillospiraceae
Description: bacterial SSU rRNA
Rfam family: Bacterial small subunit ribosomal RNA
Source: RNAcentral
UAACACAUGCAAGUCGAACGGACCUAGCCCGGUAGUAAUAUUGGGCGACGGUUAGUGGCGAACGGGUGAGUAACGCGUGAGCAACCUGCCUUUCAGAGGGGGAUAACAACUGGAAACAGUUGCUAAUACCGCAUAAUGUAUUUAGAUGGCAUCAUUUGGAUACCAAAGGUUAAAUCCGCUGAGAGAUGGGCUCACGUCUGAUUAGCUAGAUGGUAGGGUAAGGGCCUACCAUGGCUGCGAUCAGUAGCCGGUCUGAGAGGAUGAACGGCCACAUUGGGACUGAGACACGGCCCAGACUCCUACGGGAGGCAGCAGUGGGGAAUAUUGGGCAAUGGGCGCAAGCCUGACCCAGCAACGCCGCGUGAAGGAAUAAGGCCUUCGGGUUGUAAACUUCUUUUAUUAGGGACGAAGGAUGUGACGGUACCUAAUGAAUAAGCCACGGCUAACUACGUGCCAGCAGCCGCGGUAAUACGUAGGUGGCRAGCGUUGUCCGGAUUUACUGGGUGUAAAGGGCGCGUAGGCGGGAAUGCAAGUCAGAUGUGAAAUCCAUGGGCUCAACUCAUGAACUGCAUUUGAAACUGUGUUUCUGAGUGAUGGAGAGGCAGGCGGAAUUCCUAGUGUAGCGGUGAAAUGCGUAGAUAUUAGGAGGACACCAGUGGCGAAGGCGGCCUGCUGGACAUCAACCGACGCUGAUGCGCGAAAGCGCGGGGAGCAAACAGGAUUAGAUACCCUGGUAGUCCGCGCCGUAAACGAUGAAUACUAGGUGUGGGGGGACUGACCCCUUCCGUGCCGGAGCAAACGCAAUAAGUAUUCCACCUGGGGACUACGGUCGCAAGACUAAAACUCAAAGGAAUUGACGGGGGCCCACACAAGCAGUGGAUUAUGUGGUUUAAUUCGAAGCAACGCGAGAACCUUACCGGGGUUUGACAUCCGACUAACGAAGCAGAGAUGCAUUAGGUGCCCUUCGGGGAAGUCGAGACAGGUGGUCCAUGGUUGUCGUCAGCUCGUGUCGUGAGAUGUUGGGUUAAGUCCCGCAACGAGCGCAACCCUUGUUGUUAGUUGCUACGUAAGAGCACUCUACGAGACUGCCGUUGACAAAACGGAGGAAGGUGGGGACGACGUCAAUCAUCAUGCCCCUUAUAUCCGGGCUACACACGUAUACAAUGGCGUUUAACAACGGGAAGCGAAGGAGCGAUCCGGAGCGAAUCCCCAAAAGGCGUCUCAGUUCGGAUUGCAGGCUGCACUCGCCUGCAUGAAGUAGGAAUUGCUAGUAAUCGCGGAUCAGCAUGCCGCGGUGAAUACGUUCCCGGGCCUUGUACACACCGCCCGUCACACCAUGAGAGUCGGGAACACCCGAAGUCGGUAGUCUAACCUGAUAAGGAGGGCGCCGCCGAAGGUGGGCUUGAUAAUUAGGGUG